AUUGAACGCUGGCGGCAGGCCUAACACAUGCAAGUCGAGCGGGUGAAUGGGGCUUGCUCCUGGAUUCAGCGGCGGACGGGUGAGUAAUGCCUAUGAAUCUGCCUGGUAGUGGGGGAUAACGUCCUGAAACGGGCGCUAAUACCGCAUACGUCCUGAUGUAGAAAGUGGGGGGUCUUCGGACCGCACGCUAUCUUAUGAGACUAGGUCGGAUUAGCUAGUUGGUGGGGUAAAGGCCUACCAAGGCGACGAUCCGUAACUGGUCUGAGAGGAUGAUCAGUAACUCGGGAAAUGGGACACGCUCCCACAUCGUAAGUGAGGCAGCACCGGGGAAUAUUGGACAGUGGGCGAAAGCGUGUUCCAGCCAUGCCGCGUGUGUGAAGAAGGUCUUUGGCUCGUAAAGCACGUUAAGUUGGGAGGAAGAGAAGUAAGUUAAUACCUUGCUGUUUGGAAGUUACCAAAAGAUUAAGCACCGGCUAAUUCCGU
RNAcentral lists this ribosomal RNA (483 nucleotides) under uncultured bacterium. RNAcentral's name for it is "partial 16S ribosomal RNA". It matches the Rfam family "Bacterial small subunit ribosomal RNA", at positions 30 to 506 of the family's 1533-position model. The record is from RNAcentral.